AGAGUUUGAUCAUGGCUCAGAUUGAACGCUGGCGGCGUGCCUAACACAUGCAAGUCGAGCGGUAACAGGUGUAGCAAUACAUGCUGACGAGCGGCGAACGGGUGAGUAAUGCUUCGGAAUCUGCCCAAUGGUGGGGAAUAACUAGCCGAAAGGUUAGCUAAUACCGCAUGAGCCCUACGGGGGAAAGCAGGGGAUCGUAAGACCUUGCGCCGAUGGAUGAGCCGAAGCCGGAUUAGCUAGUUGGUAGGGUAACGGCCUACCAAGGCGACGAUCCGUAGCUGGUCUGAGAGGACGACCAGCCACACUGGGACUGAGACACGGCCCAGACUCCUACGGGAGGCAGCAGUGGGGAAUAUUGGACAAUGGGGGAAACCCUGAUCCAGCGACGCCGCGUGUGUGAAGAAGGCCUGCGGGUUGUAAAGCACUUUUAGUGGGGAUGAAAAGCUCAGGGCUAAUACCUCUGGGUCUUGACCUAACCCACAGAAAAAGCACCGGCUAACUCUGUGCCAGCAGCCGCGGUAAUACAGAGGGUGCGAGCGUUAAUCGGAAUUACUGGGCGUAAAGCGUGCGUAGACGGUUAUGUAAGUCGGGUGUGAAAGCCCCGGGCUCAACCUGGGAAUGCCAUUCGAGACUGCAUAGCUAGGGUGCGGAAGAGGGAAGCGGAAUUUCAGGUGUAGCGGUGAAAUGCGUAGAUAUCUGAAGGAACACCAGUGGCGAAAGCGGCUUCCUGGUCCAGCACCGACGUUCAGGCACGAAAGCGUGGGGAGCAAACAGGAUUAGAUACCCUAGUAGUCC
This 795-nucleotide ribosomal RNA is filed under the name uncultured bacterium. RNAcentral's name for it is "bacterial SSU rRNA". It matches the Rfam family "Bacterial small subunit ribosomal RNA", at positions 8 to 796 of the family's 1533-position model. The record is from RNAcentral.